UACGGAGGGUGCAAGCGUUGCUCGGAAUUACUGGGCGUAAAGCGAGCGCAGGCGGUCUGAUAAGUCGGUUGUGAAAGCCCCGGGCUCAACCCGGGAACUGCGAUCGAAACUGCCAGACUUGAGUACGGGAGAGGGAGGUGGAAUUCCUGGUGUAGAGGUGAAAUUCGUAGAUAUCAGGAGGAACACCGGUGGCGAAAGCGGCCUCCUGGCCCGAUACUGACGCUCAUGUACGAGAGCGUGGGGAGCAAACAGG
Molecule: ribosomal RNA, 253 nt
Filed under: uncultured bacterium
Lineage: Bacteria
Description: partial 16S ribosomal RNA
Rfam family: Bacterial small subunit ribosomal RNA
Source: RNAcentral